AGGACCGUGAGCCGAUGCCUCCACGCAGACACAUGUUUUUUGCUACAUCAUUAUUUUGAUACCCGGUGGUUUGUUCUGCUGGUUGUGGGUUGUUUGCCAAGGGCCUUGGAGCAGCAGAGCUCAGGAAUGCAGCCUGUAAGCUGAAGAGUGUCACUGAAACCUGCUUUUUCAGAGCCAAGUACCACAGGUGAAAUCAUUGUGGCCAGCAGAUUGAGGCAGGUUCCUCUGAGGAGAAAAAACAGAGCAAGGGCCUGGAGGAGUUGUCAGCUGAGUGGGCUCUGCAGUGUAGG
Molecule: long non-coding RNA, 290 nt
Organism: Manacus vitellinus (golden-collared manakin)
Lineage: Eukaryota; Metazoa; Chordata; Aves; Passeriformes; Pipridae
Exons: 3
Source: RefSeq, a predicted model, not a curated record